GACGAACGCUGGCGGCGUGCUUAACACAUGCAAGUCGAACGGAAAGGCCCUGCUUUUGUGGGGUGCUCGAGUGGCGAACGGGUGAGUAACACGUGAGUAACCUGCCCUUGACUUUGGGAUAACUUCAGGAAACUGGGGCUAAUACCGGAUAGGAGCUCCUGCUGCAUGGUGGGGGUUGGAAAGUUUCGGCGGUUGGGGAUGGACUCGCGGCUUAUCAGCUUGUUGGUGGGGUAGUGGCUUACCAAGGCUUUGACGGGUAGCCGGCCUGAGAGGGUGACCGGCCACAUUGGGACUGAGAUACGGCCCAGACUCCUACGGGAGGCAACAGUGGGGAAUAUUGCACAAUGGGCGGAAGCCUGAUGCAGCAACGCCGCGUGCGGGAUGACGGCCUUCGGGUUGUAAACCGCUUUCGCCUGUGACGAAGCGUGAGUGACGGUAAUGGGUAAAGAGGCACCGGCUAACUACGUG
Molecule: ribosomal RNA, 468 nt
Filed under: uncultured bacterium
Lineage: Bacteria
Description: partial 16S ribosomal RNA
Rfam family: Bacterial small subunit ribosomal RNA
Source: RNAcentral